UACAGAGGUCUCAAGCGUUGUUCGGAUUUACUGGGCGUAAAGGGUGCGUAGGUGGUGGAGUAAGUCAUCCGCGAAAGCUUUGGGCUCAACCCAAAGAUUGCAAAUGAUACUGCUUCACUUGAGUUCUUAAGGGGGGGCUGGAAUUCACGGAGUAGCAGUGAAAUGCGUAGAGAUCGUGAGGAACACCAAGGGCGAAGGCAGGCCCCUAGGAAGAUACUGACACUGAAGCACGAAGGCUAAGGUAGCAAACGGG
RNAcentral lists this ribosomal RNA (253 nucleotides) under uncultured bacterium. RNAcentral describes it as "partial 16S ribosomal RNA". It matches the Rfam family "Bacterial small subunit ribosomal RNA", at positions 524 to 776 of the family's 1533-position model. The record is from RNAcentral.